GCACAUCAGCACUUCGGGCUUCGGGUAAGUGUAGGGUUAGGGUUAUGUGUAGGGUUAUGGGUAGGGUCAGGGGUAGGGAUAGGGGUAGGGUUAGGUUAGGGUUAGGAGUAGGGGUAGGGUACCACUACCCUAACCCUACCCCUUACCCUACUCCAACCACUAACCCUAACCCUACCCCUACUCCUAACCCUAACCUAACCCUACCCCUAUCCCUACCCCUGACCCUACCCAUAACCCUACACAUAACCCUAACCCUACACAUAAC
This is a non-coding RNA of Pelobates cultripes (western spadefoot toad), 265 nucleotides long. NCBI's taxonomy places the organism in Eukaryota, Metazoa, Chordata, Amphibia, Anura, Pelobatidae. The record is from the annotation of a GenBank genome assembly.